CCCUUAGAUGUUCUGGGCUGCACGCGCGCUACACUGAAGGUAUCAGCAUGUGUCUCCCUCCCAGAGAUGGGCGGGUAACCCGCGAAUCUCCUUCGUGCUAGGGAUUGAGGUUUGCAAUUAUCCUUCAUGAACGAGGAAUUCCCAGUAAGUGCAAGUCAUAAGCUUGCGCUGACUACGUCCCUGCCCUUUGUACACACCGCCCGUCGCUACUACCGAUUGAAUGAUUUAGUGAGGACUUCGGACUGGGACCGAUGCGGCUUUCGGGCUGCGUCGGUAUUCUGGAAAGAUGUCCAAACUGUAUCAUUUAGAGGAAGUAAAANUCGUANCA
This 328-nucleotide ribosomal RNA is filed under the name uncultured eukaryote. RNAcentral describes it as "partial 18S ribosomal RNA". It matches the Rfam family "Eukaryotic small subunit ribosomal RNA", at positions 1470 to 1796 of the family's 1831-position model. The record is from RNAcentral.